Molecule: non-coding RNA, 3633 nt
Organism: Lolium perenne
Lineage: Eukaryota; Viridiplantae; Streptophyta; Magnoliopsida; Poales; Poaceae
Source: RefSeq, a predicted model, not a curated record
CAGGUUCGUGGAAUGGGAUCAAAAUCUGUGGACGAAGUGCUUGAUGCCGCCGCCGCCGGGGUUCACUACUCAGCAUUCCGUUUAGAAGAGCUGAACCUCCAAGCCUCUUUGUCCGGGGUAGAACAACCAACCACAUCAGGCCUGGAGAAUGGGCACCAGGAGCCAUUUGUCAUUGGUGUUGCUGGGGGUGCAUCUUCAGGUAAAAGUACCGUAUGCAAGAUGAUCAUUGAUCAGCUGCGUGAUCAGCGUGGCGUCGUUGUUGUGACCCAGGAGUCUUUUUAUUAUGGACUAUCUGAUGAGGAAUUGGUCCAUGUUCAUGAUUAUAACUUCGACCAUCCAGAUGCGUUUGAUACGGAUUUGCUACUCUCUUGUAUAGAAAAUUUGAAACACGGCAAAGCUGUUGAUAUUCCUAAUUAUAGCUUUAAAACAUAUAAGAGUGCCCCGAGCGAAAGGAAGGUUGAUCCUUCAGAUGUUAUUAUUCUGGUAGGAAUUCUAGUUUUCCAUGAUUCGCGUGUCCGUGAUUUGAUGAACAUGAAGAUCUUUGUUGAUACAGAUGCUGAUGUGCGAUUAACAAGGAGGAUCCGUCGUGACACCAUUGAGAAGGGCAGAGAUAUCAAAACUGUAUUAGAUCAGUACUCGAAAUUCGUUAAGCCUGCCUUUGACGACUUUAUCCUCCCAACGAAGAAGUAUGCUGAUAUUAUCAUCCCACGAGGCGGAGAUAACAAUGUGGCAAUUGACCUAAUCGUUCAGCAUAUUCGCACUAAGCUUGGUCAACACGAUCUAUGCAAAAUACACCCCAAUUUGUAUGUCAUCCAAACUACUUAUCAGAUACGAGGCAUGCACACAAUAAUACGAGAUGCUGCCACAACAACACAUGAUUUUAUAUUUUAUGCUGAUCGGUUGAUUCGAUUGGUUGUUGAGCAUGGUCUUGGUCAUCUUCCUUUCCAAGAAAAGCAGGUCAUAACUCCGACUGGAUCAGUUUACACUGGUGUGGAGUUCUCUAAAAGGUUGUGUGGUAUCUCAGUGAUAAGGAGUGGCGAAAGUAUGGAGAAUGCACUGCGGGCAUGCUGUAAAGGUAUAAAGAUCGGGAAGAUUCUUAUUCAUAGGGAGGGAGAUAAUGGGCAACAGCUCAUCUAUCACAAUUUGCCGAAAGAUAUUGCAAACAGACAUGUUCUGUUGUUAGAUCCCAUACUGGGAACAGUGUACACCGUGUAUGUACUCAUAUUGACUUACUGGGUCUUUCAAGAUUUAAAAUAUUGACUUACUGAGUCAGCUCCACCACAAUGAUGUGAUUCGUGUUCGAUCGAGGCAAGGAUCCAGGGACCUUCUACAAAGCCUGGUGGGCUACGAUCAAGGAUGACAUAAUUUCGGUCUUCAAAACAAUUCACCUUGGUCGCACACAUGGAUUUUCCAAGUUGAACAAAGCCCUUGUCACCCUCCUACCUAAGAAACAAGACGCAAACACUGUCCUUGAUUUUAGACCAAUCAGCUUGGUCCAUAGCAUUGCCAACCCUGUUGCCAAAACCAUGUCGCUCAGACUCGCUCCUCUGUUGCCAACCCUGAUAUCUCCUAACCAGUCUAUCUUCAUCAAGGGGCGUGCAAUCCAUGACAACUUUAUGAUGGUUCAGCAGCUGGCUGCUUUCCAUGCCGCCAAUUCGCCAACUGUUCUCCUGAAACUUGACAUUGCACGCGCUUUCGACACGGUAUCCUGGCCUUUUCUCUUUGAGCUGAUGCAAUACCUUGGCUUUGGGCACGCUUGGAUCAACCUUGUCUGCCUCCCGCUAUAUUCUGAAUCCACUAUGGUUCUUGUCAACAGCAGGCCAGGUGAUGAGAUCUACCAGACUACCACCAUUGUGGCGUCACACAAGGUGACCCCAUUGCUCCAAUGCUAUUUGUUCUGGUCAUGGAAGUCUUCCAUCGUCUUGUCGACAUUGCAGCAUGUCUUGGUCUGCUCACCAAUCUCCAGGGCUCCAAAGGAGCAUGUCGCACCUCUCUAUGCUGACGACACGGUUGUUUUUCUGAAGCCAGCUCAGCAAGAUUGUGAGACCAUUCGUGAAUUGCUGCGGCUCUUCGGUGAAACGACAGGUUUGCACACCAACAUUCUGAAUAGCUCUGCCACGCCGAUCAGAUGCAGCGACCAAGAUCGUGACCUUAUCACCCAAUGCCUGCACUGCCCAAUAAAGGACUUCCCAAUCCCAUACCUAGGCGUUCCCUUGUCCAUCUGGCGACUCAAAGCUGACGACUUGCAGCCAUUGACCGGCAAGUUGCAUAAUCAGCUCUCAGGUCGGCGAGCUGGCUUCCUCUCCAAGGGUGACAAACUGGUUUUAGUCAAGUCUGUCCUUGCUGCUACCCCAAUACACACCAUGCUAGCCACUGACAUGCCCAAGGCUAUCAAAGAGGCAAUUAUCAAAUGUCUACGAUCCUUUUUCUGGGCAGAUGGUCGCGAUGAUAAUGGUGGAAACUGCACAGUGGCAUGGUCUGGGCCUCAGCGUCCUUGACCUGAAACACAUGAGCUGGGCCUUGCAUGCCAGAUGGUCCUGGCGGUCGUGUCGACUCCUCCAAACCCUGGGCUGAUUUCCCUGUGAAAGUCAAUCGGCGCAUUCCUGCUCUCGUGCACGCAGCAACCAAAGUAGUCCUGGGAAAUGGCACCAAGAUCUUCUUCUGGACUGACAAAUGGAUCGCCGGUCAGAGCAUCGCCGAGCUCGCGUCUGAUUCUUUGCAGCUGUGAGACCCCGAACCAUAAAGCAAAGAAUGUUCGGGGCGAAGCAAGCGAUAUAGAUGAGGAAGCGCCUGCUCUGCUUGGAAACAGUUGGAUCCGAGACAUUUCUGUUACCCUUUCUAUUGCUGGGAUCAACUAAUUCCUGCACCUGGCUGAAAUCGUCGAGGCACAGCAGCUAGACCAAAAUUAUGAAGAUGUGAUAACCUGGAGCCUCUCCCCUUCAGGUGACUACACAUCCAAAUCUGCUUACUCUGCACUCUUUGAAGGAUCACCUACGUCGCCAUAUCACAUUGCAAUUUGGAAAUUUUGGGCCCCGCUCAAAUGCAAAAUCUUUGUUUGGUUUGCCACCCUUGAUCGGUGCUAGACUGCCCAGCUUAGAAUGCGUCACGGCCUCGUCAACGAUGGCACAUGCGCCGGAGUCUGAAACCAUUGCCCAUCUGCUCACUCAAUGCUCGUUUGCACAGUAGAUUUGGCAUGCCGCCCUUGGACAACUAAGCCUGCAAGGCUACUUGCAAAGGACUGACGAGGAGUUCACCUCAUGGUUUGAAACAGCAGCAUCCAAUGCUCAACCUGCAGUUCAAAAAGGAGCCAGAUUAGUCAUCAUCCUGACCCUAUGGAGACUGGAAAGCUCGCAGUGAUAUAGUUUUCAGAGAAGCUACCCCUAAUUGUCGAGAACUUGUGCUCUCAAUUCUUGAAGAGGCCAAACUCUGGUUACUUGCUGGUGCUAAGGCUCUGCGCCAACUGCCCUUACACACGCAGUGAGGCCUCCCGAUGCUGCCUACUGUGAGAGAGUUGGCCGGCAAAGUCGGUCAUGUGCAGCUUCAGUUUUAGGAAAUUCAGCUGUUCAAGCUAUAUCCCUGCUCUUGAAGAAGGGUGUCCAGGAAGCAAAUAUUAUCUUCCUUAAUCUUAUAUCA